GAUGAACGCUGGCGGCGUGCCUAAUACAUGCAAGUCGAGCGAACGGACGAGAAGCUUGCUUCUCUGAUGUUAGCGGCGGACGGGUGAGUAACACGUGGAUAACCUACCUAUAAGACUGGGAUAACUUCGGGAAACCGGAGCUAAUACCGGAUAAUAUUUUGAACCGCAUGGUUCAAAAGUGAAAGACGGUCUUGCUGUCACUUAUAGAUGGAUCCGCGCUGCAUUAGCUAGUUGGUAAGGUAACGGCUUACCAAGGCAACGAUGCAUAGCCGACCUGAGAGGUGAUUGGCCACACUGGAACUGAGACACGGUCCCGACUCCUAAGGGAGGCAGCAGUAGGGAAUCUUCCGGAAUGGGGCGAAGCCUGACGGAGCAACGCCGCGGGAGUGAUGAAGGUCUUCGGAUCGUAAAACUCUGUUAUUAGGGAAGAACAUAUGUGGAAGUAACUGUGCCCAUCUUGACGGUACCUAAUCAGAAAGCCACGGCUAACUACGUG
Molecule: ribosomal RNA, 496 nt
Filed under: uncultured bacterium
Lineage: Bacteria
Description: partial 16S ribosomal RNA
Rfam family: Bacterial small subunit ribosomal RNA
Source: RNAcentral